CCCCCUAGGGACCAAUUCUGCAAAACAUUAACACACUAAGGGUCUAAAGUGAAAUGUACUUGAAUCGAGUGUUACAUGGUCACCCGAUUACUAAGGAUGAUGUGGACAUUAACUUAUGUCUAACUCUUUUUAAAUGACAUAUAAGCAAUCUACAUUCACAUGGAUUUUUUAGCCUCCACCACCAUCUCUAAAAGACCCCAACUUUCGUAUUUAUGAAAGACCCAAACUUUCAUACUAUUCCAACAUUAUUCUUUAAGUUACUUCCUCAAAACAUGCUACAUGCAUAUUUAUAAAACAAUAUUUUAUAUUGAUAAAGUGAUUACAAAGGAUUGGAUACAAACCGACUAAGUUUUAUUACAUUUCAUAUCUACCCAGGAAUCUACUAUUCAUAUACAUACAUGAACAUUAAAAUACACAGAAAUAGUAUUAACUAUUCUAAAUCUUUCAGCAGUAUAAAACUAUAUUGGAUACUCAUCACCUGCAAUUGUUAAAUAUUGAGAGGGAUCGAUAAGCGAUAACGCUUAGUGAAUUCAAUAAAUAGAUACAAUAUAACCUUAUGCCUUAUAUAUAUCAAUAUGACAGAAGCAAAAGGGAACAAGAACAACAAUAGCAUAUGCGUAUCAUAUGUCACGCUUUCAAUAUCAACUCAAGAUUUGAUUCAAAGAUUUACGAUCAAUGAGACAUAACAAUUUCCAUGCUUGAUAUGCAUCAAUAAAGCUUUUGGCCCAAACGGCACAGAAGAUAUACAACUUCGGAUUAACAUUUUGGUAUAUUUCAGGCUUAAAGCCCUGUCUAACCAUUUGCCAAUACCAUAGAAUAGAGUUCAUUCUCUUACGGAGUCAUGCUCUACAUGGUCAGAGGUUACAUACCAUUCUUAUCUAACCUUCUGCCAAUGUCAUAGAAUAGAAGUCAUUCUCUUACUAGAAAUGUUCUACAUGGCCAGAGGCUACAUACCAGUACCACCGUGAAUCUAAGUCCUUUCACUGAUCACAUGGUCAAAGGUAUAACUUUGCUAUUAAAAAUAGCGAAUAAAAAUAACACGGGAAAAUAACUCAGAAUAAUAACACUGAAAAGCACAUAGCACAUAUAACACAUAACAUACAAUUGUUCCUAUAUAUUGAACUCACCUUAAAAUAAUCGGGGGUUAAAAUAGUAAUUUGAGCAGCAUAUCGGCUCCAAAUAUGGCUUUAUUUGUUGAAAACCGGGAGAAUUAGCUAAAAACCGGACUCUAAAAAGGUAGAGCUUCAAAACCGAAAAGAUAAAUUUUUCGGGCUUCACGGCACUUCGGGGCGUGUUUCGGGUGUUAAAAUUGACACCGGGGCUUCGGGGGAUGUCAAAAUAGUCAAAAUAUGGAAAAAGGGGCCAAAAAUGGCAAUUUUCUAAAAUUCCUCGGCAAGGCUCGCAGGCCUUGUAUUUAUAGGGAGGAGAUGCGAGGGUUCGGCCGAGAAGGGGUGAGUCAGCGAGGGCAGGUGGCAGCAGGGGGCGAAGGCACGCGGCUCGCAUGCGAGGGCUCCAGGUGGCUCGGUUCGGACUCGACAGGCGUCUUCGGAUGCGAGGAGUCACCGGGUGACUAAGCUGCUUCGGACGACUCAUCGCGACACGCGUCGGAUCUGGGCAAGGGUGAGUCACGACAUCGAAAACGAGGCGGACACGGCAUCGGACCAAUCAGAGGGUGCCACGCGAGGCUGCGGUCCAAUCAGAAGAUGCCACGUGGAUUAUCACUAUUCAUGCGAAAAUUAAAUAAAAAAUGUGCCAAAUCUUGUAAAAUCCAUAACUUUUGCAUACGGGCUCCGUUUUUGACGUUCUUUAUAUGCACGCGUAGCUAAAAUUAUGCUCUACAACUUUCGUUUAGACUUCGUCGGCUAAUUUUGACUUUAAUUUUUAUAUUAUUAUUUUUAACAGACCGGGACAGGAAAAUCCGUUAAAAAUUCAUAACUUCUUCAUCCGACAUCCGUUUUCGUCAGACUUUUUACCGUUGUACUACAAAUGACGAGACCUUCAAUUCUCGUUUAGGUUGUGUCGGCUAAAAAUCACUCGAUCUAAAAUUCGAGUUUUUAGCUGUCUACUAUUAAGCUGAAACUUCGAAAAAUCAUAACUUCCUCAUACGAAGUCAGAUUUUGGCGUUCUUUUUAUCGAACUUCUAGGUUUAAAGAAUACUACAACUUUCAUUUAGAUUACUAAGACUAAAAAGUAGUUUAUCAAAAACUCAUUUUUUACGUCAUUCGACGUCGUGCCGGUUUUAUCGCGGAUCUUCGAUUGGUCAUAACUUCUUCGUUAUAACUCAGAUUUCGACGAGGUUUUCGCUUAAAUGUUUCUAACGAGAUUAUCUAAAACUUUCAAUAAUAAAAUUUUACUUAUUUAAAAUUUUAUAUUUUCGCUAAAUUUUCAUUAUUUGGCUAUUAAUUGAAAUCUCAUAAGACUUCCAAUAUUUUAUGAGUGAUUCUAAACAUAGUUUUACUUCAUUUCUAGUAAAAACUAUAUGUUAGAACUCAACACUCAAUUUUAUUUACUUCUAAUAAUAACAAUACACAAUUUCAAAAUGUGUAUGUUACAAAUACAUCCUCCUUUUGAGGAUUUCGUCCCCGAAAUCAUAACGAUUAAAACAAUUAGGGAUACUUCACUCUUAUUUCAUUCUUACUUUUCCCAAGUAUAAUUUGAGCCUCGACGGUGUUUCUGCAUGAAAAUCACCAACUCUACAUCUUUAUUAUGUAGAUUAGUCGUUCUUUCAUUUACGAUCUCUUCUACUUAACUUAUCAUCCAGUUUCACCUCUGAUAAUAGAACCAUUUCAUCAUAUAUGCUUAAAAUUUUACACAGAUAGCUCACAUGAAACACUUCCUGAAUAUCUAUCAAAUCUUCAGACAAUUUUAAGCAGUAUGCUUGCUUACCAACCGUUCUUUCUUCCAAAGUAGUAUAACGCCUUCUCAUGAAAUACCUUCAGUAUUACUAAAUCAUCCACCCGGAAUUCUACGGGUCGUCUCCUCUUUUCUGCAUAGGACAUUUGUCGAUCCUGGGCCACUUUCAUUCUUUCUCAGAAAAUUUGUAUCUUGUCAGUGAUGUCUUGAACCAUUUCAGAUCCUCCAAAGAUCUUAUGUCCUAUGUCACGCCAACAUAUUUGAGUAUGACAUUUACGCUCAUACAGUACUUUAUAUACCUUCAGUAUAUUUUCUAUUAUUUUGAUUGCUCUCUUCUUUUGAUCAUUUGUCUGAGGAUGAUAAGUUGUACUAAGAGCAACUCGAGAUCCUAACUCAUGCUUCAUUCUCACCCAAAAAUGAGAAGUGAAACGAGUAUCACAAUCGAAAAUAAUCUUUAGUGGUGCACCAUGUCUCACCACAAUUUCGUCUAAGUAAACUUGUGCUUAUUUCUCCAUUAGAACUGUUGUACGUAUGGCGAGAAAAUAUGCACUCGUACUCAGCUUGUCGACAAUUAUCCAAAGGUUAUCAUUCACAGUUUUCUUCUCCUCUUUCAAGGUAUUAACUGUAUAAGCCGGAUAAGUAGAAUAUCCCUUCGACAUAAUUUACGAGUUUUUAAGAAAGAAAUUUAUUAUUUUCACCGUAGACAUAAAUAGAAUCUUCCCUUUCGAUAGGGAUGCAUAUCAUCUCUUUGUAACACAAGAGCUCUGCGUGGUUCUUUAACAACCAAUCCAUGUCGAGAAUAAUAUCAAAGAUAGGAAUUAGGUUAGCAGGAAGAUUAUAACUUUCAAUUCCUAUAACACUAACUCUAUAGGCUUUAUCAUCAAGUAAUGAUAUAUUUCCUAUGUUAUCUAUAUUAAAUAAUUGGACAAUUGCGUAACAAGCAAUUUGAAAAGAAUAUGCGAAUUUAUAAAGCACGAAAGAAUCUGAGGUAUUGAAAUCAAAUAAGAUGUGAGUAGAUCUAGAGUUUACGAGAAAAUUACUAGCCACAACGUUCGAGUUUUAACUUACUUCCUUUGUGGUAAUCUAAAAUGUACGAUAUUUAACUUUUAGUUUGCCAAACGAUUGUCAAACUCUUCAAACUUAUUAAUUACUAGCGGUGCUCAAACCUGUACCCGCUCAUCAUUCUCUAUUGGGCUUUUGAUCCUAAUCAUUGAGUUAAAACUCAAUUCUCAUUGUAGACUCCUGCUCCUUCUUGGUUUAUAGACUAAACCCACGAUAAGAUCUUUACUUUUGCUAUAGCAACAACUCCAAUGGUCAUAUUCUAAUGACCUUUGAUUUUAUCUCGCACAAGACACAUAACGAUCCAAACUCUUGUAUUAGAAUCAGAUCGAAUAAAUCGAGCUGAUAGAAUAGCAAAAACAAAAGAGUUUGAUCAACACGUAGAUGCUUUGGAACAGAAAGAAUAGCACCACGUAUCUCUAAUUCGUGCUUUCGGACCUACAUAUCUUUUAGCUUUUGGCACCUCCUCCUUUUUAUUUGGAGUACUCUUUAAUUGUUGAACGGAAAGUUGACUCCCUGCCAUUUGACUAGUAAGAGUAGGGCAGAAACAUUUCUUGUGGCCAGUAACACCACAUAGCAAGUCACAUCUGAUUGCUANUAUCGACUACCUUGACCAUUUACUUCUUCAGUAUUCCUACUGAAGUUUCGUCACUAUAUGAGACAUGGUUCUCUGAACCAAUCAACUCCUUUCGCGGAUUUAUACUAAUCGGACUCGAUUCUUUAUGACAUUAAGAUUUGAACGAUAAUUAUCUUCUUAGUCAUUACCGAAAUGAAGGUAACGACACACAUGAAUAAAACGAAAUCAUUUACUAGCUUCUUGGUAACCUUGUGACUUUUUCCUGAUCCAAGUGUGAGUCCUGUGCUUCCAGUAGUAUAGGCCUCUACUACUAUUCACACCUACUCAUACUCGUCCCAAGUAUUGUCUCGCAGUUCCCAAGUCACCAUUCAAAAGUUUUCACAAAGAAACUUAUCACACAUGAAUGUGUUCAAACAAAUACAUACAACAGUUUCUCCUAGACUCAACUAGGGUUUUCACGUUUCUAUCAAACAUAUAUUGGAUUACCUAUACUCGCCUUCUAGGAUUCUUCUCAUGCAUAUGCUCGCUUUAAUAUAUCCUAAUACUUUUCCAUAGGUCGAUAGAAAUUUUACUUCCAUUUCUUCAUAUAAAUUCUUUCUCGAGUAGUGUCUACUCUACAAGACACACUAUUCCAAAAUUUACUCUAGCAGCAUGGAGACAAACGGUCUUCUACUACCUGCAUCACCUUCUAACUCAUGAAAACCAUCAUGCACAUUUGUUCAUUUCAUUAUUCUUCCUUGAAAUCGUUAUUCUUGUAUCUGAGUAAGUCUAAGUCUGCUUCUUAGGAGUCUAUCCUAAAAAGUCUACAUCAUAGCUGCAUCUUAGGAAGCUCUACUAGCUUCAACUUGGUUCUCUGUCAUUCCUGACUACAACAUCUCUUCUCAUACGAUACUAUGGUUGUAUUUCUUCUUUAAAUAAGCAUUUUACCUUACUUAAACAAGUAAGUUGCUUAACCACUUACCACUAAAUGAUUCAAUUCACCAUCCCAAUCUUGUAUGUUAAAGUCGGCUUAACUCACAAUGGAACUUCUAUAAGGAAGGGAUAGAAGUCAAUCAGCACUUAGUAUUAUUAAAUACUAAGUCUGAACAUCUUGUAUAGGGUUACUACUCGAACUGCAUACUACAUUACAAUUUUUUUUUUUGACGAAGUCUUGGCCUAUUGAGUCUGAAAACUUCAUUAGUCCUUCCUUUAAUUCUUCUAAAUCUUGUACAACAUUGAUUGAGAUACUAUCGAAGUAUUGACCGCCAUCUUCGGUUCUUCUGACUCUCUAAACAAUCACCGCUUCAAUCUAAACAGCGGUGGAAACAACUUUGUGGAUUUGUACCAACACAUUUGUCUCGCCCAAACGUGUUUCAAACGCACAUCUUUCUUCCAAAGAUGUUAUUAUAUAUCAAAAAUACUUUAAAUGUAUAUUACCACUCUAUUGGUAUUAAUACACUUAUUACGAUAACAAUUCAUAUUUAUUAUUUUAUGAUAUCUCGCGAUCGUUUAUUUAUAAACUUAUCGAUGUAAACUAUCAUAAGUCUCUUUAUCACUUCGAAAAAUUCUAUUACGAAAAUUCUUAGAAUUCUGAACAUAAAAUUUUCUAAACCAAGGUCGGCAACAGACCUUAAGCUUUCUCAAAUAAUAGCAAUUAUAGAUAAGCACCUUAAGGCAUGCUAUAUUCAUUUAUCAUUUAGCACAUAUUAGAAUAUAAGGCAUAUCUCCUCUUAAUAUUCUAGUGCUUGACUCCAUUAGGUAUUCAACCUAAAAUAUACCAGAUACAUAUCGUAUCAUCUUCACUUAACAAUUAUUGUUUAAGCUUAGAAAUUCUCAAAACUCCUAGCUCACUUAAACUAAUUUUCAUAAAAUUCUGAAGUAACUUAAAAUCCUAGAAUAUUAGGGUUUAUCACUACCCAAUCCCCCACUUAAAUAUUUCCUAUGGUUUGUAUCCAUAUACUUAUUAUGAAUCGGCUCAUAUAUUGAGCUUCCAACAGUUUAAGUCUAAAUACCAAUCCGUGAUAUUUAGUUCACUUAAACCAUUGCUCUGAUACCAUGAUUGAAAGACCCCAACUUUCGUAUUUAUGAAAGACCCAAACUUUCAUACUAUUCCAACAUUACUCUUAAGUUACUUCCUCAAAACAUGCUACAUGCAUAUUUAUAAAACAAUAUUUUAUAUUGAUAAAGUGAUUACAAAGGAUUGGAUACAAACCGACUAAGUUUUAUUACAUUUCAUAUCUACCCAGGAAUCUACUAUUCAUAUACAUACAUGAACAUUAAAAUACAUAGAAAUAGUAUUAACUAUUCUAAAUCUUUCAGCAGUAUAAAACUAUAUUGGAUACUCAUCACCUGCAAUUGUUAAAUAUUGAGAGGGAUAAGCGAUAACGCUUAGUGAAUUCAAUAAAUAGAUACAGUAUAAUCUUAUGCCUUAUAUAUGCCAAUAUGACAGAAGCAAAAGGGAACAAGAAUAACAAUAGCAUAUGUGUAUCAUAUGUCAGGCUUUCAAUAUCAACUCAAGAUUUGAUUCAAUGAUUUACGAUCAAUGAGACAUAAUGAUUUCAAUAAUUGAUAUGCAUCAAUAAAGCUUUGGCCCAAAUGGCACAGAAGACAUAUAAUUUCUGAUUAACAUUUUGGUAGAUUUCAGGCUUAUAGCCCUGUCUAACCAUUUGCCAAUACCAUAGAAUAGAGUUCAUUCUCUUACGGAGUCAUGCUCUACAUGGUCAGAGGCUACAUACCAGUCCUAUCUAACCUUCUGCCAAUGCCAUAGAAUAGAAGUCAUUCUCUUACGAGACAUGUUCUACAUGGCCAGAGGCUACAUACCAGUACCACCGUGAAUCUAAGUCCUUUCACUGAUCACAUGGUCAAAGGUAUAACUUUGCUAUUAAAAAUAGCGAAUAAAAAUAACACGGGAAAAUAACUCAGAAUAAUAACACUGAAAAGCACAUAGCACAUAUAACACAUAACAUACAAUUGUUCCUAUAUAUUGAACUCACCUUAAAAUAAUCGGGGGUUAAAAUAGUAAUUUGAGCAGCAUAUCGGCUCCAAAUAUGGCUUUAUUUGUUGAAAACCGGGAGAAUUAGCUAAAAACCGGACUCUAAAAAGGUAGAGCUUCAAAACCGAAAAGAUAAAUUUUUCAGGCUUCACGGCACUUCGGGGCGUGUUUCGGGUGUUAAAAUUGACACCGGGGCUUC
This 7659-nucleotide long non-coding RNA is filed under the name Lactuca sativa (garden lettuce). RNAcentral describes it as "long non-coding RNA (LSAT_LNC006036)". Lineage: Eukaryota; Viridiplantae; Streptophyta; Magnoliopsida; Asterales; Asteraceae. The record is from RNAcentral.